GAGGAAUAUUGGUCAAUGGAUGGAAAUCUGAACCAGCCAAGUAGCGUGCAGGAUGACGGCCCUAUGGGUUGUAAACUGCUUUUAUGUGAGAAUAAAGUUAGGUAUGUAUACUUAUUUGCAUGUAUCACAUGAAUAAGGACCGGCUAAUUCCGUGCCAGCAGCCGCGGUAAUACGGAAGGUCCAGGCGUUAUCCGGAUUUAUUGGGUUUAAAGGGUGCGUAGGCCGUUUGAUAAGCGUGCUGUGAAAUAUAGUGGCUCAACCUCUAUCGUGCAGCGCGAACUGUCGAACUUGAGUGCGUAGUAGGUAGGCGGAAUUCGUGGUGUAGCGGUGAAAUGCUUAGAUAUCACGAAGAACUCCGAUUGCGAAGGCAGCUUACCGUAACGUUACUGACGCUUAAGCACGAAGGUGCGGGUAUCGAACAGGAUUAGAUACCCUGGUAGUCCGCACGGUAAACGAUGGAUGCUCGCUGUUGGCCUUUAUGGUCAGUGGCUUAGCGAAAGCGUUAAGCAUCCCACCUGGGGAGUACGGUCGCAAGAUUA
This 539-nucleotide ribosomal RNA is filed under the name uncultured bacterium. RNAcentral's name for it is "bacterial SSU rRNA". It matches the Rfam family "Bacterial small subunit ribosomal RNA", at positions 356 to 896 of the family's 1533-position model. The record is from RNAcentral.